Molecule: small RNA, 156 nt
Filed under: uncultured Catenibacillus sp.
Lineage: Bacteria; Bacillati; Bacillota; Clostridia; Lachnospirales; Lachnospiraceae
Description: Clostridiales-1 RNA
Rfam family: Clostridiales-1 RNA
Source: RNAcentral
GACAAGCGACAAAAGGUCAUGCGGGCUGCGCUUGCGCAGGCAAGCGUGACUUUGUGUCGCGCAAAACACCGAAAAGGAGCCAUUUUUCGCAGAAAAAUGGGCGGAUUUGAGGUGUUUUUAGGAUUGCGGGAGCGCAAAGCGCGGAGCAAUCCGUGG